GGGCCACGGGGAAUGCCUUACNUAACGGCGAGUGAAGCGGCAAAGCUCAAAUUUGAAAUCUGGUACCUUCGGUGCCCGAGUUGUAAUUUGGAGAGGGCAACUUUGGGGCCGUUCCUUGUCUAUGUUCCUUGGAACAGGACGUCAUAGAGGGUGAGAAUCCCGUGUGGCGAGGAGUGCGGUUCUUUGUAAAGUGCCUUCGAAGAGUCGAGUUGUUUGGGAAUGCAGCUCUAAGUGGGUGGUAAAUUCCAUCUAAAGCUAAAUAUUGGCGAGAGACCGAUAGCGAACAAGUACAGUGAUGGAAAGAUGAAAAGAACUUUGAAAAGAGAGUGAAAAAGUACGUGAAAUUGUUGAAAGGGAAGGGCAUUUGAUCAGACAUGGUGUUUUGUGCCCUCUGCUCCUUGUGGGUAGGGGAAUCUCGCAUUUCACUGGGCCAGCAUCAGUUUUGGUGGCAGGAUAAAUCCAUAGGAAUGUAGCUUGCCUCGGUAAGUAUUAUAGCCUGUGGGAAUACUGCCAGCUGGGACUGAGGACUGCGACGUAAGUCAAGGAUGCUGGCAUAAUGGUUAUAUGCCGCCCGUCUUGAAACACGACCA
Molecule: ribosomal RNA, 590 nt
Filed under: Saccharomyces cerevisiae (brewer's yeast)
Lineage: Eukaryota; Fungi; Ascomycota; Saccharomycetes; Saccharomycetales; Saccharomycetaceae
Description: partial large subunit ribosomal RNA
Rfam family: Eukaryotic large subunit ribosomal RNA
Source: RNAcentral